This 72-nucleotide transfer RNA is filed under the name Camelus bactrianus (Bactrian camel). It matches the Rfam family "tRNA". From Rfam's summary of the family: Transfer RNA (tRNA) molecules are approximately 80 nucleotides in length. Their secondary structure includes four short double-helical elements and three loops (D, anti-codon, and T loops). RNAcentral also lists the same sequence under 1 other name. Lineage: Eukaryota; Metazoa; Chordata; Mammalia; Artiodactyla; Camelidae. The record is from Rfam by way of RNAcentral.
GAGGGUACAGCUCAGUGGUAAAGUGCAUGCCUAGCAUGCAUGAGGUCCUGGAUUCAAUCCCCAGUACUUCCA